CUAAAGGGUCCGUAGGCGGGCCAAUAAGUCAGUGGUGAAAUCCUAUGCAAACGAUAGAACUGCCAUUGAAACUGUUGGUCUUGAAUUAUUUUGAAGUUGGCGGAAUGAGUAGUGUAGCGGUGAAGUGCAUAGAUAUUACUCAGAACACCGAUUGCGAAGGCAGCUGACUAAGAAUAUAUUGACGCUGAUGGACGAAAGCGUAGGUAGCGAGCAGGAUUAGAUACCCUGGUAGUCUACGCAGUAAACGAUGGAUACUCGUUGUCGGGAAAAUUGAGACUCGGUGGCUAAGCGAAAGUGAUAAGUAUCCCACCUGGGGAGUACGAUCGCAAGAUUGAAACUCAAAGGAAUUGACGGGGGCCCGCACAAGCGGUGGAGCAUGUGGUUUAAUUCGAUGAUACGCGAGGAACCUUACCUGGGCUUAAAUGUAGAUUGACAGGACUGGAAACAGUUUUUCCUUCGGGCAAUUUACAAGGUGCUGCAUGGUUGUCGUCAGCUCGUGCCGUGAGGUGUCAGGUUAAGUCCUAUAACGAGCGCAACCCCUAUCGAUAGUUGCUAGCAGGUAAUGCUGAGGACUCUAUUGAGACUGCCGGUGCAAACCGUGAGGAAGGUGGGGAUGACGUCAAAUCAUCACGGCCCUUACGUCCAGGGCCACAC
Molecule: ribosomal RNA, 654 nt
Filed under: uncultured bacterium
Lineage: Bacteria
Description: bacterial SSU rRNA
Rfam family: Bacterial small subunit ribosomal RNA
Source: RNAcentral